This 276-nucleotide unclassified non-coding RNA is filed under the name plant metagenome. RNAcentral's name for it is "partial contains small subunit ribosomal RNA and internal transcribed spacer 1". The record is from RNAcentral.
AAGGUCGUAACAAGGUUUCCCGUAGGUGAACCUGCGGAAGGAUCAUUACAAUAAAUGCCGGUAGGUGGUGGGGCUCUUGAUCUGUAAGUGGUAGAGCGAACAGUCCGGCUGCCUCCCGAAACUGUCUUACAUGCCCCCCCAAUCAGCCUGAAGGCCGAAUUUACAACCCUUGAUUAUCUACACUUGUUGCUUUUCGGGGGUGCUCAAGGUGCCCCCAGAGGACCCAAAUUCUCUUGCAUUUAGUGACGUCUGAGUACUAUAUAAUAUUUUAAAAGC